Triticum aestivum (bread wheat) is the source of this 81-nucleotide non-coding RNA. Lineage: Eukaryota; Viridiplantae; Streptophyta; Magnoliopsida; Poales; Poaceae. The record is from Rfam.
AAGCACAUAAUGAUUAGCUUUAUGUUGGAAUUACCGUCAGAUACCCAAUGACAAUAUUUUUGCGGCUUUCUGAGGCUUACU